This 464-nucleotide ribosomal RNA is filed under the name Vreelandella stevensii. RNAcentral describes it as "partial 16S ribosomal RNA". It matches the Rfam family "Bacterial small subunit ribosomal RNA", at positions 338 to 795 of the family's 1533-position model. The record is from RNAcentral. Lineage: Bacteria; Pseudomonadati; Pseudomonadota; Gammaproteobacteria; Oceanospirillales; Halomonadaceae.
CCUACGGGGGCAGCAGUGGGGAAUAUUGGACAAUGGGGGGAACCCUGAUCCAGCCAUGCCGCGUGUGUGAAGAAGGCCCUCGGGUUGUAAAGCACUUUCAGUGAGGAAGAACGCCUGGUGGUUAAUACCCAUCAGGAAAGACAUCACUCACAGAAGAAGCACCGGCUAACUCCGUGCCAGCAGCCGCGGUAAUACGGAGGGUGCGAGCGUUAAUCGGAAUUACUGGGCGUAAAGCGCGCGUAGGUGGCUUGAUAAGCCGGUUGUGAAAGCCCCGGGCUCAACCUGGGAACGGCAUCCGGAACUGUCAAGCUAGAGUGCAGGAGAGGAAGGUAGAAUUCCCGGUGUAGCGGUGAAAUGCGUAGAGAUCGGGAGGAAUACCAGUGGCGAAGGCGGCCUUCUGGACUGACACUGACACUGAGGUGCGAAAGCGUGGGUAGCAAACAGGAUUAGAUACUCCAGUAGUC